This 407-nucleotide ribosomal RNA is filed under the name uncultured prokaryote. RNAcentral describes it as "bacterial SSU rRNA". It matches the Rfam family "Bacterial small subunit ribosomal RNA", at positions 355 to 776 of the family's 1533-position model. The record is from RNAcentral.
UGGGGAAUAUUGGGCAAUGGGCGAAAGCCUGACCCAGCAACGCCGCGUGAAGGAAGAAGGUUUUCGGAUUGUAAACUUCUGUCCUCAGGGAAGAAGGAAGUGACGGUACCUGAGGAGGAAGCUCCGGCUAACUACGUGCCAGCAGCCGCGGUAAUACGUAGGGGGCAAGCGUUAUCCGGAUUUACUGGGUGUAAAGGGAGCGUAGGUGGUUCGGUAAGUCAGAUGUGAAAGCCCGGGGCUCAACCCCGGGACUGCAUUUGAAACUAUCGUACUAGGGUGCAGGAGAGGUAAGUGGAAUUCCUAGUGUAGCGGUGAAAUGCGUAGAUAUUAGGAGGAACACCAGUGGCGAAGGCGGCUUACUGGACUGUAACUGACACUGAGGCUCGAAAGCGUGGGGAGCAAACAGG